GGAGCGCGGGACGGGGCGGGGAGGCGUGGACGGGAGGAGGCGGAGGCCUGGGCGCGGGAGGGGAGGAGGCCGGGCCGGCCCCGGGAAGGCGCUGGCUGAGGCCGCCGGCAGUUUCUACCGUCGAAGGGCAGCGUGAACCUCGGCUUCUUCCAGCGCAGCCCGGGGCGCCCGGGGCCGAGAGCGGAAGUCCGAGGGGGCCGCACGGCGGAGGGUGGCCGAGCCCGGGCCCCGCGCGCUCCCGCCUCUCACGCGUGGGUUCGCGGCUCCGGAGCGUGGCGGAGCCGCGCUUUCUGUAGACAGCAGAGGCCCAGAGCGCGUCGCGGUUCCGAGGGACGUGGGACUUGAUGGAGCCAGAGAAGGAUAUGGCAAGCCAGAAUAUUCAUUGAUGUUGAACUCAAGAUCUUCCUCCUCCUUGGUAGAGGCUCCCAGAUACAAAAGAUACUGGGGGCUAUCCUGCUAGAAAGCAUAGUAAAGUCAGUUGUAGAGAUGACUGAAUAAUAACAUGGAGAGAAGACAAUCAAUUCUGCAAACAUGGCCUAAUGGGGGAGUCAUCACAGUUUUGUAGCCUUCAAAACUCAUGUUGUCAAUGUGACCAGAAUGGCCAGACCCUCAGGGGUGGAUUCAUCUAGCCAGACUUGCUGAAGACUCAUGAGUGAACAGAAUUCCAGUUCAUGAUGGAGACGUUUAUCUCUGAUGACCAAUAGACCCCAUGAUUAUUCUCCAGGACCCCCACUGCUAAAUCCUGGGUACCUGGGGAAUUAUGCUAGUCACCAGGAAGUUGUUUAGUGAUCCCUAAAUCAUGAAAGAGAAAUGGCUAAUGUCAUGGGUUCAAUUCUGUCUCUUCCAAAUUCAUAUGUUAAUGUCCUAACCACUAUUACCUCAGAAUGUGACCUUAUUUAGAAAUAGACUUGUAGCAGAUAUAAUUACAGUUGACCUUUGAACAAUGUGGGAAUUAGACAUGCCAAACUGCCUAAUGCAUAUAUAACUUCUAUUCCCCAAAAACUUAGCUACAAAUAGCCUACUGUUGACCCAAAGCCUUACCAAUAACAGAAAUAGUGGAUUAACACAUAUUUUGUAUGUUUUAUGAAUUACAUACAGUGAUCUUACAAUAAAGUAAGUUAGAAACUAUGUUAAGAAAAUCACAAGGAAAAUACAUUUAUAGUACUGUACUGUAUUUGUUGAUACUGUAAGUUUGUAUCACCUAUUUACAAGAUGAAUUGUCUGUCUGAAUUAGCAGCAACGGCAAUUGCAGACCUCGAUCUAUAGUGAAUAUCAAGCAAUUUGGCUUUUUGCUGUAAACUCAUGACUUUUCUCUGCUUCUUGGGAUCACUUCCAGCAUCACUAGUGGCACUUUGUAUGGGUCCCAUGGUGUUAGUCAAGGUUUAUAGUAUUGCACUAAACACAAUAAAAAAUAUGUGAGAACUGACAGAGAUCACUCUUGAGUGCGAUAUGCAAUUUACUGGAGAGAUGAACUGCUCAUGCAGAGAUGAGCAGCACACGGCAUUUUAAGUGGAUGCUCAUAAUACUAAGCUCGCUACAAUAACAACAGGAAGUGGCUAUGAAAUUAUUACAGUCAUACAAUAUUACUAUAGUUCAUUUUAUGCAGUUGUGAUUUAAUACUGCAUCUUUAUAUUUGUUUACAUUUCUCUCAACUUCGAAUGGCUCCCCAUACAAUCUGUGUUUGUAUAAGUUUUAAUACAUUUUAACUUUUUAUAAUUUGUGUAUAUUUUAUGGCAGUAAUAAAAUAGACUAGUAUCUACAUAUACUUUAUACAUAACACUUGU
Molecule: long non-coding RNA, 1784 nt
Filed under: Saimiri boliviensis boliviensis (Bolivian squirrel monkey)
Lineage: Eukaryota; Metazoa; Chordata; Mammalia; Primates; Cebidae
Description: lncRNA (ENSSBOG00000036637.1)
Source: RNAcentral